RNAcentral lists this ribosomal RNA (464 nucleotides) under Vreelandella stevensii. RNAcentral describes it as "partial 16S ribosomal RNA". It matches the Rfam family "Bacterial small subunit ribosomal RNA", at positions 338 to 795 of the family's 1533-position model. The record is from RNAcentral. Lineage: Bacteria; Pseudomonadati; Pseudomonadota; Gammaproteobacteria; Oceanospirillales; Halomonadaceae.
CCUACGGGAGGCAGCAGUGGGGAAUAUUGGACAAUGGGGCAACCCUGAUCCAGCCAUGCCGCGUGUGUGAAGAAGGCCCUCGGGUUGUAAAGCACUUUCAGUGAGGAAGAACGCCUGGUGGUUAAUACCCAUCAGGAAAGACAUCACUCACAGAAGAAGCACCGGCUAACUCCGUGCCAGCAGCCGCGGUAAUACGGAGGGUGCGAGCGUUAAUCGGAAUUACUGGGCGUAAAGCGCGCGUAGGUGGCUUGAUAAGCCGGUUGUGAAAGCCCCGGGCUCAACCUGGGAACGGCAUCCGGAACUGUCAAGCUAGAGUGCAGGAGAGGAAGGUAGAAUUCCCGGUGUAGCGGUGAAAUGCGUAGAGAUCGGGAGGAAUACCAGUGGCGAAGGCGGCCUUCUGGACUGACACUGACACUGAGGUGCGAAAGCGUGGGUAGCAAACAGGAUUAGAUACCCUGGUAGUC